RNAcentral lists this ribosomal RNA (218 nucleotides) under uncultured bacterium. Its description in RNAcentral is "partial 16S ribosomal RNA". It matches the Rfam family "Bacterial small subunit ribosomal RNA", at positions 1283 to 1500 of the family's 1533-position model. The record is from RNAcentral.
CCAUCCCAGUUCGGAUCGCAGGCUGCAACCCGCCUGCGUGAAGUUGGAAUCGCUAGUAAUCGCGGAUCAGCAUGCCGCGGUGAAUACGUUCCCGGGCCUUGUACACACCGCCCGUCACACCAUGAGAGUCGGGAACACCCGAAGUCCGUAGCCUAACCGCAAGGGGGGCGCGGCCGAAGGUGGGUUCGAUAAUUGGGGUGAAGUCGUAACAAGGUACC